Molecule: ribosomal RNA, 256 nt
Filed under: uncultured bacterium
Lineage: Bacteria
Description: partial 16S ribosomal RNA
Rfam family: Bacterial small subunit ribosomal RNA
Source: RNAcentral
UAAGACGAACCGUGCGAACGUUGUUCGGAAUCAUUGGGCUUAAAGGGCGCGUAGGCGGGGUGGCAAGUCUGUGGUGAAAUCCUCCGGCUCAACCGGAGAACUGCCGUGGAUACUGCCAUUCUUGAGGGGUGUAGGGGCAUGCGGAACUUCCGGUGGAGCGGUGAAAUGCGUAGAUAUCGGAAGGAACACCGGUGGCGAAAGCGGCGUGCUGGACACCUUCUGACGCUGAGGCGCGAAAGCCAGGGGAGCAAACGGG